This 328-nucleotide ribosomal RNA is filed under the name uncultured bacterium. RNAcentral describes it as "bacterial SSU rRNA". It matches the Rfam family "Bacterial small subunit ribosomal RNA", at positions 30 to 352 of the family's 1533-position model. The record is from RNAcentral.
AGUGAACGCUGGCGGCAGGCCUAAUACAUGCAAGUCGAACGGCAGCACAGCAGAGCUUGCUCUGUGGGUGGCGAGUGGCGGACGGGUGAGGAAUACGUGGGAAUCCGCCCAGUCGUGGGGGAUAACGUAGGGAAACUUACGCUAAUACCGCAUGCGCCCUUCGGGGAAGCGGGGACCGUUCGGGCCGUGGCGCGAUUGGAUGAGCCCACGUCGGAUUAGCUAGUUGGCGGGGUAAAGGGCCCACCAAGGCGACGAUCCGUAGCUGGUCUGAGAGGAUGAUCAGCCACACUGGAACUGAGACACGGUCCAGACUCCUACGGGAGGCAGC